CCUACGGGAGGCAGCAGUGGGGAAUAUUGCACAAUGGGGGAAACCCUGAUGCAGCGACGCCGCGUGAGUGAAGAAGUAUUUCGGUACGUAAAGCCCUAUCAGCAGGGAAGAAAAUGCCGGUACCUGACUAAGAAGCCCCGGCUAACUACGUGGCAGCAGCGGCGGUAAUACGUAGGGGGCCAGCGUUAUCCGGAUUUACUGGGGGUUAAGGGGGCGUAGACGGGAGCGCAAGUCUGGAGUGAAAUCCCAUGGCUUAACCAUGGAACUGCUUUGGAAACUGGGCCGCUUGAGUGCAGGAGAGGUAAGCGGAAUUCGUGGUGUAGCGGUGAAAUGCGUAGAUAUUAGGAGGAACACCGGUGGCGAAGGCAGCUUACUGGACUGUAACUGACGUUGAGGCUCGAAAGCGUGGGGAUCGAACAGGAUUAGAUACCCUAGUAGUC
RNAcentral lists this ribosomal RNA (440 nucleotides) under uncultured bacterium. RNAcentral describes it as "partial 16S ribosomal RNA". It matches the Rfam family "Bacterial small subunit ribosomal RNA", at positions 338 to 795 of the family's 1533-position model. The record is from RNAcentral.